GAUGAAGGAACGUAGCGAAAUGCGAUACGUAAUGUGAAUUGCAGAAUUCAGUGAAUCAUCGAGUCUUUGAACGCACAUUGCGCCCCCUGGUAUUCCGGGGGGCAUGCCUGUCCGAGCGUCAUUGCUGCCCUCAAGCACGGCUUGUGUGUUGGGCCUCCGCCCCCCGGCUCCCGGGGGGCGGGCCCGAAAGGCAGCGGCGGCACCGCGUCCGGUCCUCGAGCGUAUGGGGCUUCGUCACCCGCUCCGUAGGCCCGGCCGGCGCCCGCCGGCGACCCCCCUCAAUCUUUCCAGGUUGACCUCGGAUCAGGUAGGGAUACCCGCUGAACUUAAGCAUAUCAAUAAGCGGAGGA
Molecule: unclassified non-coding RNA, 350 nt
Filed under: soil metagenome
Description: partial contains 5.8S ribosomal RNA, internal transcribed spacer 2, and large subunit ribosomal RNA
Rfam family: 5.8S ribosomal RNA (bases 1-121)
Source: RNAcentral